CUUCUCUUCUCUCCUAUCUGUGUUUCCUCUCUCACUUCUCUUCUCUUCUCUGUUUCCUAUCUUGGUGGAUCCAAGCAAGAGCAGCUGGUGCCCGGUGGCCUAGGUGGCCUAGGGGUGCACGGCGUGGAGGCUUGCGGUGGCGCAACAGCCGGUGCACAGGGCCCAUGGUCGGCGGGGCGCACGGCGGCUGGCGCAUGAGGCUUGGGCGCACGGUGUAGAGAGCCAUGGCAAGGAGCUUGCAAGGAGCCAGUAGUACUUGUACAUGGGGGCGUGGCAUGCGACGGCCAGCGCUCGGGGCUCAUGGUGGGCGGCGUGGCACACGGGCGCCCACGGCGGCGGGCGCUGCGGUUGGAGCACGGGGCUCACGGUGGCCGACGCGGCGCACGAUUUUGUUUCCCUUUUUUGAUUUUUUAUUUCUUUUUUUUGUUUUUUAAUCUAUUACCAGGGCAUCACCUGCCUUUGGAAAACAGUUUGCAGGGACGGAUCAUGGCGUCACCCGCCCCUGAAGAUACAAUUUCCAGGGACGGGUGAUGGCAUCACCCGCCCCUGGAAACGGUUUUACAGGUUGGGCCAGUUACCUCCUGCAAAUAGUUAUUUGUAGCUGCGAAAGCUAGAAGCGGGUAGCGCGCUCGCCCUUGCAAAUGCCGUUUCAACCGCAUCUGGAAACCGUUUUUUAUAGCGACCCUUUACGCCCUUCCAUUUUGCAUGAAGGCUUUAUUCAAAUCUCAAGCUAAAUUCACAGUUACAUUUGAC
Molecule: long non-coding RNA, 753 nt
Organism: Setaria italica (foxtail millet)
Lineage: Eukaryota; Viridiplantae; Streptophyta; Magnoliopsida; Poales; Poaceae
Exons: 2
Source: RefSeq, a predicted model, not a curated record